AAAGAAGGCCAUUCGGUCGCCGGUGCGAAAGCACGGGAGGAAAGUCCGGACACCGCAGGGCAGGGUGACUGAUAACAUCAGCCUGGUGCGAACCAGGGAAAGUGCCACAGAAAACAGACCGCCCGAAAGGGUAAGGGUGAAACGGUGGUGUAAGAGACCCCCGCUGACGCUGGCAACAGCGCAGGCAUGGCAAACCCCAUCCGGUGCAAUGCCAAAUAGGCAGGUUUACUAAAGCGGCCCGCUUUUUAUAACCUGCGGGUAGGCAGCUCGAGCUGCGGAGCAAUCCGCCGCCUAGAUAAAUGACCGAUUAAAACAGAAUCCGGCUUAACGGCCUUCUUUCUUU
RNAcentral lists this RNase P RNA (343 nucleotides) under Denitrovibrio sp. RNAcentral describes it as "RNase P RNA component class A". It matches the Rfam family "Bacterial RNase P class A". Rfam says of the family: Ribonuclease P (RNase P) is a ubiquitous endoribonuclease, found in archaea, bacteria and eukarya as well as chloroplasts and mitochondria. Its best characterised activity is the generation of mature 5'-ends of tRNAs by cleaving the 5'-leader elements of precursor-tRNAs. Lineage: Bacteria; Pseudomonadati; Deferribacterota; Deferribacteres; Deferribacterales; Geovibrionaceae. The record is from RNAcentral.